AUCCUUCGGUCAAGGAUCAGAGGUUUAUCACGAGCUUUGGGAACGGCGCAAAGUAACCGCGUGUGGGUAAUUUAUCGCUGACUUAAUGACUCGCCUCUCCCGCCACCGGCGGUCAACCUGCGGCGUGUUACACCUGAAGGCACCGGCGCACCGUUCGCCCGGAUCACUCUGCUCAACUCGAGGCGACGUCUUAGUGUCCGAUAAACUUUUAAUGCGGCAAGAAACCGCCUCAUCCCGUGCUCGUAUAUACCUGGCUGUGCGACGACGACGUUUCUUUCCUGCUACUCCCUAUUCGUCCCUUCGAUAUACGACGGCUGAGUUCUGUCGCGAGAUACGUGCGUGCAUCGAAUUAUCGAUUUUUCAAGAAUCGCGAAAGGAAGCGAGUUCGGCAUUCGUGAAAAUUUCUUACGUUUCUUCAAUUGCCACGAAGGUCGUCAUCGAGUCAAUCAUCGCCAUUGAGCGACUCAGCUGACUGGAUAUAAAUUCUUAAGAUUGUUACCCACAGCCGAAAAAGCUCGAAAGAGAUACCGAGGAUCGAUGAUGCGGAUAAGGCUGCUUUCCUGCCUCCUCAUUCUCUCGGUGUUUCUCGCAUACGGUAACUGCGCACCGCGUCGCCUCAGUACGGAUUUCGUCUACUUUCCCGACCAAAUAGAUUACAUCCGAGUUUCGUCCCAAUGUCCCGGUGGUCUCGUGUACUGGCCGCCGAAUGGUCGAUGCUACAAAGAAGGUCAGCAAGGGCCCUGCAACGUUGGCCGCGUCUUGGUUUUCAAUCGAAAGGAAUACCGACCCUUCUGCCGGAACGUCGGAUAACCUUCAUCCACGGAGCUUCUACCUUGUCUUCGCAUGUUACGAUAUCAGAAUCAGAAGGCAACAAUAGGCGGGGACAGCGACAGGUGGGGUCGAAUGUAAGAGUGAAAAAUUUGAAGAGGUUUCAAAUUAUCGAGCCCACAGGGAGCCACGUCGAACGGAGCAAAUUGUCAGACCUGAAAUUGAACAUUCGAACGCUGCUUACAGAGAUCUGCAAUUGACGUUUUUGUCCAAUUUAUGUGAACUAUAGGGCUAAUGUUGACUGUAUGAGUUAUCGUUUAUUGUGUUUGUGUAUUAAUAAAAAUUUUCCGGUCUAU
This 1124-nucleotide long non-coding RNA is filed under the name Neodiprion pinetum (white pine sawfly). RNAcentral describes it as "uncharacterized LOC124213766". Lineage: Eukaryota; Metazoa; Arthropoda; Insecta; Hymenoptera; Diprionidae. The record is from RNAcentral.